This 2853-nucleotide ribosomal RNA is filed under the name Escherichia coli. RNAcentral describes it as "partial 23S ribosomal RNA". It matches the Rfam family "Bacterial large subunit ribosomal RNA". The record is from RNAcentral. Lineage: Bacteria; Pseudomonadati; Pseudomonadota; Gammaproteobacteria; Enterobacterales; Enterobacteriaceae.
GGGUUGUGAGGUUAAGCGACUAAGCGUACACGGUGGAUGCCCUGGCAGUCAGAGGCGAUGAAGGACGUGCUAAUCUGCGAUAAGCGUCGGUAAGGUGAUAUGAACCGUUAUAACCGGCGAUUUCCGAAUGGGGAAACCCAGUGUGAUUCGUCACACUAUCAUUAACUGAAUCCAUAGGUUAAUGAGGCGAACCGGGGGAACUGAAACAUCUAAGUACCCCGAGGAAAAGAAAUCAACCGAGAUUCCCCCAGUAGCGGCGAGCGAACGGGGAGCAGCCCAGAGCCUGAAUCAGUGUGUGUGUUAGUGGAAGCGUCUGGAAAGGCGCGCGAUACAGGGUGACAGCCCCGUACACAAAAAUGCACAUGCUGUGAGCUCGAUGAGUAGGGCGGGACACGUGGUAUCCUGUCUGAAUAUGGGGGGACCAUCCUCCAAGGCUAAAUACUCCUGACUGACCGAUAGUGAACCAGUACCGUGAGGGAAAGGCGAAAAGAACCCCGGCGAGGGGAGUGAAAAAGAACCUGAAACCGUGUACGUACAAGCAGUGGGAGCACGCUUAGGCGUGUGACUGCGUACCUUUUGUAUAAUGGGUCAGCGACUUAUAUUCUGUAGCAAGGUUAACCGAAUAGGGGAGCCGAAGGGAAACCGAGUCUUAACUGGGCGUUAAGUUGCAGGGUAUAGACCCGAAACCCGGUGAUCUAGCCAUGGGCAGGUUGAAGGUUGGGUAACACUAACUGGAGGACCGAACCGACUAAUGUUGAAAAAUUAGCGGAUGACUUGUGGCUGGGGGUGAAAGGCCAAUCAAACCGGGAGAUAGCUGGUUCUCCCCGAAAGCUAUUUAGGUAGCGCCUCGUGAAUUCAUCUCCGGGGGUAGAGCACUGUUUCGGCAAGGGGGUCAUCCCGACUUACCAACCCGAUGCAAACUGCGAAUACCGGAGAAUGUUAUCACGGGAGACACACGGCGGGUGCUAACGUCCGUCGUGAAGAGGGAAACAACCCAGACCGCCAGCUAAGGUCCCAAAGUCAUGGUUAAGUGGGAAACGAUGUGGGAAGGCCCAGACAGCCAGGAUGUUGGCUUAGAAGCAGCCAUCAUUUAAAGAAAGCGUAAUAGCUCACUGGUCGAGUCGGCCUGCGCGGAAGAUGUAACGGGGCUAAACCAUGCACCGAAGCUGCGGCAGCGACGCUUAUGCGUUGUUGGGUAGGGGAGCGUUCUGUAAGCCUGUGAAGGUGUGCUGUGAGGCAUGCUGGAGGUAUCAGAAGUGCGAAUGCUGACAUAAGUAACGAUAAAGCGGGUGAAAAGCCCGCUCGCCGGAAGACCAAGGGUUCCUGUCCAACGUUAAUCGGGGCAGGGUGAGUCGACCCCUAAGGCGAGGCCGAAAGGCGUAGUCGAUGGGAAACAGGUUAAUAUUCCUGUACUUGGUGUUACUGCGAAGGGGGGACGGAGAAGGCUAUGUUGGCCGGGCGACGGUUGUCCCGGUUUAAGCGUGUAGGCUGGUUUUCCAGGCAAAUCCGGAAAAUCAAGGCUGAGGCGUGAUGACGAGGCACUACGGUGCUGAAGCAACAAAUGCCCUGCUUCCAGGAAAAGCCUCUAAGCAUCAGGUAACAUCAAAUCGUACCCCAAACCGACACAGGUGGUCAGGUAGAGAAUACCAAGGCGCUUGAGAGAACUCGGGUGAAGGAACUAGGCAAAAUGGUGCCGUAACUUCGGGAGAAGGCACGCUGAUAUGUAGGUGAAGUCCCUCGCGGAUGGAGCUGAAAUCAGUCGAAGAUACCAGCUGGCUGCAACUGUUUAUUAAAAACACAGCACUGUGCAAACACGAAAGUGGACGUAUACGGUGUGACGCCUGCCCGGUGCCGGAAGGUUAAUUGAUGGGGUCAGCGCAAGCGAAGCUCUUGAUCGAAGCCCCGGUAAACGGCGGCCGUAACUAUAACGGUCCUAAGGUAGCGAAAUUCCUUGUCGGGUAAGUUCCGACCUGCACGAAUGGCGUAAUGAUGGCCAGGCUGUCUCCACCCGAGACUCAGUGAAAUUGAACUCGCUGUGAAGAUGCAGUGUACCCGCGGCAAGACGGAAAGACCCCGUGAACCUUUACUAUAGCUUGACACUGAACAUUGAGCCUUGAUGUGUAGGAUAGGUGGGAGGCUUUGAAGUGUGGACGCCAGUCUGCAUGGAGCCGACCUUGAAAUACCACCCUUUAAUGUUUGAUGUUCUAACGUUGACCCGUAAUCCGGGUUGCGGACAGUGUCUGGUGGGUAGUUUGACUGGGGCGGUCUCCUCCUAAAGAGUAACGGAGGAGCACGAAGGUUGGCUAAUCCUGGUCGGACAUCAGGAGGUUAGUGCAAUGGCAUAAGCCAGCUUGACUGCGAGCGUGACGGCGCGAGCAGGUGCGAAAGCAGGUCAUAGUGAUCCGGUGGUUCUGAAUGGAAGGGCCAUCGCUCAACGGAUAAAAGGUACUCCGGGGAUAACAGGCUGAUACCGCCCAAGAGUUCAUAUCGACGGCGGUGUUUGGCACCUCGAUGUCGGCUCAUCACAUCCUGGGGCUGAAGUAGGUCCCAAGGGUAUGGCUGUUCGCCAUUUAAAGUGGUACGCGAGCUGGGUUUAGAACGUCGUGAGACAGUUCGGUCCCUAUCUGCCGUGGGCGCUGGAGAACUGAGGGGGGCUGCUCCUAGUACGAGAGGACCGGAGUGGACGCAUCACUGGUGUUCGGGUUGUCAUGCCAAUGGCACUGCCCGGUAGCUAAAUGCGGAAGAGAUAAGUGCUGAAAGCAUCUAAGCACGAAACUUGCCCCGAGAUGAGUUCUCCCUGACCAUUUAAGGGUCCGGAAGGAACGUUGAAGACGACGACGUUGAUAGGCCGGG